UGACGGUACCUGACUAAGAAGCACCGGCUAAAUACGUGCCAGCAGCCGCGGUAAUACGUAUGGUGCAAGCGUUAUCCGGAUUUACUGGGUGUAAAGGGAGCGCAGACGGCAUGGCAAGCCAGAUGUGAAAUGCGGGGGCUCAACUCCUGAACUGCAUUUGGAACUGUCAAGCUAGAGUAUCAGAGAGGUAAGUGGAAUUCCUAGUGUAGCGGUGAAAUGCGUAGAUAUUAGGAGGAACACCAGUGGCGAAGGCGGCUUACUGGACGAUAACUGACGUUGAGGCUCGAAAGCGUGGGGAGCAAACAGGAUUAGAUACCCUG
RNAcentral lists this ribosomal RNA (320 nucleotides) under uncultured bacterium. RNAcentral's name for it is "bacterial SSU rRNA". It matches the Rfam family "Bacterial small subunit ribosomal RNA", at positions 470 to 789 of the family's 1533-position model. The record is from RNAcentral.